GAUGAACGCUGGCGGCGUGCCUAACACAUGCAAGUCGAACGGGUGUACGGGGAGGAAGGCUUCGGCCGGAAAACCUGUGCAUGAGUGGCGGACGGGUGAGUAACGCGUGGGCAACCUGGCCUGUACAGGGGGAUAACACUUAGAAAUAGGUGCUAAUACCGCAUAACGGGGGAAGCCGCAUGGCUUUUCCCUGAAAACUCCGGUGGUACAGGAUGGGCCCGCGUCUGAUUAGCCAGUUGGCAGGGUAACGGCCUACCAAAGCGACGAUCAGUAGCCGGCCUGAGAGGGCGGACGGCCACACUGGGACUGAGACACGGCCCAGACUCCUACGGGAGGCAGCAGUGGGGGAUAUUGCACAAUGGGGGGAACCCUGAUGCAGCGACGCCGCGUGGGUGAAGAAGCGCCUCGGCGCGUAAAGCCCUGUCAGCAGGGAAGAAAA
RNAcentral lists this ribosomal RNA (439 nucleotides) under uncultured bacterium. Its description in RNAcentral is "bacterial SSU rRNA". It matches the Rfam family "Bacterial small subunit ribosomal RNA", at positions 28 to 451 of the family's 1533-position model. The record is from RNAcentral.